UCCCUCCCAAAUCCUGUGCUAAUCUGACAGAACAAAACUGUGAAUCCAAAAAAUUUCUCUCUCAAUUUCUUCACAGCCAAACCAAAACCAGAGACUUUUACGCAGACCCACUGCAAAGUAACAGAGAGAGAUGUGUACUCAUGGCUUAUUGAUCCCUGGAAGCGAGGCCUCUCGCUUCUGCUUCUCUUCCACCGUCUCUUCUCCCACCGUAACGUAUAAGUCCGACCCAUUUUUCCGCUUCAAGCCUCUGACACGUUUCUCGCACGGGUCAUUCAAAAUCAAGGCUGCUGUGCAGGAAGGAAUCCCCACCAACAUGAGCUUUUAUGAGCUGUUGGGGAUUCCUGAGUCCGGUACCUUGAUUGAGAUAAAG
Molecule: unclassified non-coding RNA, 370 nt
Filed under: Hevea brasiliensis (rubber tree)
Lineage: Eukaryota; Viridiplantae; Streptophyta; Magnoliopsida; Malpighiales; Euphorbiaceae
Source: RNAcentral